UCCAGACUCCUACGGGAGGCAGCAGUGGGGGAUAUUGCACAAUGGGGGAAACCCUGAUGCAGCGACGCCGCGUGGGCGAAGAAGUAUUUCGGUAUGUAAGGCCCUAUCAGCAGGGAAGAAGAAAUGACGGUACCUGAGUAAGAAGCCCCGGCUAACUACGUGCCAGCAGCCGCGGUAAUACGUAGGGGGCAAGCGUUAUCCGGAUUUACUGGGUGUAAAGGGAGCGUAGGCGGCCUUGCAAGUCUGAUGUGAAAGGCCGGGGCCCAACCCCGGGACUGCAUUGGAAACUGCGAGGCUGGAGUGUCGGAGAGGCAGGCGGAAUUCCUAGUGUAGCGGUGAAAUGCGUAGAUAUUAGGAGGAACACCAGUGGCGAAGGCGGCCUGCUGGACGAUGACUGACGCUGAGGCUCGAAAGCGUGGGGAGCAAACAGGAUUAGAUACCCCCGUAUC
This 449-nucleotide ribosomal RNA is filed under the name uncultured bacterium. RNAcentral describes it as "partial 16S ribosomal RNA". It matches the Rfam family "Bacterial small subunit ribosomal RNA", at positions 330 to 794 of the family's 1533-position model. The record is from RNAcentral.